This 404-nucleotide ribosomal RNA is filed under the name uncultured bacterium. RNAcentral's name for it is "bacterial SSU rRNA". It matches the Rfam family "Bacterial small subunit ribosomal RNA", at positions 430 to 826 of the family's 1533-position model. The record is from RNAcentral.
GCACUUUAAGCAGUGAAGAAGACUCCUCGGUUAAUACCCGUGGACGAUGACAUUAGCUGCAGAAUAAGCACCGGCUAACUCUGUGCCAGCAGCCGCGGUAAUACAGAGGAUGCAAGCGUUAAUCGGAAUUACUGGGCGUAAAGGGAGCGUAGGUGGCUCGAUAAGUCAGAUGUGAAAUCCCCGGGCUUAACCUGGGAACUGCAUCUGAAACUGUAGAGCUAGAGUAUGUGAGAGGAAGGUAGAAUUCCAGGUGUAGCGGUGAAAUGCGUAGAGAUCUGGAGGAAUACCGAUGGCGAAGGCAGCCUUCUGGCAUAAUACUGACACUGAGGCUCGAAAGCGUGGGUAGCAAACAGGAUUAGAUACCCUGGUAGUCCACGCCGUAAACGAUGUCUACUAGUCGUUGG